GCUUUUAAAAGAUAGAAGUAAUCUAUUGGUCUUAGGCUCCAAACACUCAUGGUGCAACCCCGUGUAAAAGCU
This 72-nucleotide transfer RNA is filed under the name Typhlonectes natans (Rio Cauca caecilian). Its description in RNAcentral is "tRNA-Leu". The record is from RNAcentral. Lineage: Eukaryota; Metazoa; Chordata; Amphibia; Gymnophiona; Typhlonectidae.